GCUGGGCAUGGUGGCGCAUGCCUGUAGUCCCAGCUACUUGGGAGGCUGAGGCGGGAGAAUCACUUGAACCCAGGAGGCAGGGGUUGCAGUGAGCCGAGAUCACACCACUGCACUCCAGCCUGGGCAACAGAGCGAGACUCCAUCUCGG
Molecule: non-coding RNA, 148 nt
Filed under: Nomascus leucogenys (northern white-cheeked gibbon)
Lineage: Eukaryota; Metazoa; Chordata; Mammalia; Primates; Hylobatidae
Source: Rfam by way of RNAcentral